Long non-coding RNA from Esox lucius (northern pike), 435 nucleotides. NCBI's taxonomy places the organism in Eukaryota, Metazoa, Chordata, Actinopteri, Esociformes, Esocidae. The record is from Ensembl.
CGGCAAAGGUAACGUGCAUGUUUACCGGUAUGUCUGGAUCAUAUUGCAAUGGCACGAAGACACAUUGAAGCAUUUCAGUUUGACCCAGAAUCCGAUCCAGAUGGAGAAGCAACGGAUGAAGAAGUUGCAACUCAGCGCCUCCAGAAGGAUGUUUCCGAAUGAUGUCUUCACAAAAAACUUCAACCUGCCCCUGUCCCAGACUGUUUCCAGAAGACCAUUCUGAUUCUCCCAGUGAUCAAGUAAACCAAGGUAACACAUCCUCGUGAUUAUUGCCCUCUUGGAGUCACCGCUGUCAUCAUUUGAGACAUCUCGCAGGCACAUUAGCCAGGCUCAAGAGGCACAUAUACAUUUGGCUGAAAAGUGCUGUGAAAUAAAAGCCCAGAUGUUCCAUCACCCUUGUUCCAAAGGUCAGUCCACCCUGAGUUUUGUGUUUUU